RNAcentral lists this ribosomal RNA (434 nucleotides) under uncultured bacterium. RNAcentral's name for it is "bacterial SSU rRNA". It matches the Rfam family "Bacterial small subunit ribosomal RNA", at positions 30 to 453 of the family's 1533-position model. The record is from RNAcentral.
AGUGAACGCUGGCGGCAGGCCUAACACAUGCAAGUCGAGCGGCAGCGCGUCCGACCACCCUCGGGUGGUCGGAUGGCGGCGAGCGGCGGACGGGUGAGGAAUGCAUCGGAAUCUGCCUCGUUGUGGGGGAUAACGUAGGGAAACUUACGCUAAUACCGCAUACGACCUACGGGUGAAAGUGGGGGACCUUCGGGCCUCACGCGAUGAGAUGAGCCGAUGCCGGAUUAGCUAGUUGGCGGGGUAAAGGCCCACCAAGGCGACGAUCCGUAGCUGGUCUGAGAGGAUGAUCAGCCACACUGGAACUGAGACACGGUCCAGACUCCUACGGGAGGCAGCAGUGGGGAAUAUUGGACAAUGGGGGCAACCCUGAUCCAGCCAUGCCGCGUGUGUGAAGAAGGCCUUCGGUUGUAAGACACUUUGUUGGGUAGAACCGG